UCUAGACCAACUUGUGUUCUGAAGACAUCUUUCUAUGAAAUAGAACAAGGAUUUCUGUGUGUACAUGUUAAUUCAUCAACAUUUCAUCUGCUUAUGAAACCAAAGAUGAAAAUAUAAAACGUAUGCCCCAGUUAAAGGGAUAAUGACCUUGAAAAGUUCAAGAACAUUCUUUUUAGCAUUGGAUAACUUUCAUGAGCAGAAUACACAUUAAAAAUCGCAGGCAGCCAAGUGGAGCAGCCAGUGAAAAGCAUAUUAAGGAGGACAGAUAAGGGCCUUACCUCUGCUCAUAAUUAUUACGGAGCUACUUUCUCAUCUUC
RNAcentral lists this long non-coding RNA (317 nucleotides) under Bos taurus (domestic cattle). Its description in RNAcentral is "long non-coding RNA NONBTAT001067". The record is from RNAcentral. Lineage: Eukaryota; Metazoa; Chordata; Mammalia; Artiodactyla; Bovidae.